This is a non-coding RNA of Acanthosepion pharaonis, 100 nucleotides long. The record is from the annotation of a GenBank genome assembly. Lineage: Eukaryota; Metazoa; Mollusca; Cephalopoda; Sepiida; Sepiidae.
UUACGUUGAAAUCAAAAUGAAAACGCAGGUUCUCGUUCGAUCACGGCAGAUAACCAUCGUAUAGCCAGGUCAGUACUUAGAUGAGGGACCGCUUGGGAAC